CGCGUCGCGUCACCGGGAGCGGCGGGAGCGCGCACGCCGCGGGGCGGGGCCUGCACCGCCGUGACUGGCGUCCGAGCGCCGCGCUGUUCCGCGGAACCACGCGGGUGCAGCUGAGCUCAGGGAAUGCCGAAAGUGAAAGUGGCAUCACGGAACUAACCAGUACUGUGGCUUGGUUACCGCCGAUCCUACAGCGAGGCGCAAAGUGCUUAUGACACCAAAGGUCCUGAAACAAAAGUCUCUAAAGGCAACACAGCUCCGGGUGGCCCUUGCUUUGACGCGGAGUGAGACUUUGAGAUCUCAAAACCCAAAAAAGGCCUUAUUGAUCAGUUUGCAGAAACAUCCCCAAAGGGUCCAGCUCUUCAGUGAGAAUGUAUGGAAUGAGAGUUAGAGGUUUGUUCAUUCAUUCAAGAACUAUAUCUUCAUCUUGAGCACAGGGAUGAGCUGUGAGGGAUAUGGCUGAGUUUGGGAGAAAAGAUACACAAAGGAAAUGUUAACCACACAAGUACGCGGGCCUCUCCCGUUGUGGAGCACAGGCGCCGGACGCGC
Delphinapterus leucas (beluga whale) is the source of this 546-nucleotide long non-coding RNA. RefSeq lists it as uncharacterized. The record is from RefSeq and is a predicted model, not a curated record. Lineage: Eukaryota; Metazoa; Chordata; Mammalia; Artiodactyla; Monodontidae.